RNAcentral lists this ribosomal RNA (206 nucleotides) under uncultured bacterium. RNAcentral describes it as "partial 16S ribosomal RNA". It matches the Rfam family "Bacterial small subunit ribosomal RNA", at positions 568 to 774 of the family's 1533-position model. The record is from RNAcentral.
AGCGCAGGCGGGAAACUAAGCGGAUCUUAAAAGUGCGGGGCUCAACCCCGUGAUGGGGUCCGAACUGGUUUUCUUGAGUGCAGGAGAGGAAAGCGGAAUUCCCAGUGUAGCGGUGAAAUGCGUAGAUAUUGGGAAGAACACCAGUGGCGAAGGCGGCUUUCUGGACCGUAACUGACGCUGAGGCUCGAAAGCUAGGGUAGCGAACG